Molecule: long non-coding RNA, 363 nt
Filed under: Lathyrus oleraceus (garden pea)
Lineage: Eukaryota; Viridiplantae; Streptophyta; Magnoliopsida; Fabales; Fabaceae
Description: Pisum sativum (pea) long non-coding RNA (PSAT_LNC034561)
Source: RNAcentral
UCCGUUGAUGAUUUGGUUGUGCUCACUCUCCCCAGUAGAGUUUCCUCCUCUCCGUUGGUGUCGAUAAACGUCGAGUUUUUCCCAAUCAUCCGUUGAUGAUUUGGUUGUACCCCUCUCCAUGCAGAGUUACCUCUCCGUUGGUUUUGAUAAACGUCGAGUUUUUCCCAGUCGUCCGUCGACGUCUGGUUGUGUUUCUCUUAUUCCCAUUCAUCUGUAAAUGUCUGGUCGAUCCUUUUGGUGUCUGUAAACAUCAUCUUUCGAUGUCUGUAAACGUCGAGUAUUCCCAUUCAUCUGUAAAUGUCUGGUCGAUCCUUUUGGUGUCUGUAAACAUCAUCUUCCGAUGUCUGUAAACGUCGAGUAUUC